This 2368-nucleotide long non-coding RNA is filed under the name Homo sapiens (human). RNAcentral's name for it is "HSALNT0349279". The record is from RNAcentral. Lineage: Eukaryota; Metazoa; Chordata; Mammalia; Primates; Hominidae.
UAUAGGCUUCUCACCCCUCGGCAGCUGCAACUGGCAAAUCUAGUUUACAGAAAUGGGAGAUGAGGGAGAUGUGCACGUUUUUCACUGUCGGAACUUGAGAGGCAGUGAUGGAAUACUUACGAAGUAGCAGCUCUCGGCAGAUGAGAAGAAUACACCUUGGCAGCUGCUGGAUCAAGGCAAAUGAGAGACCCAUGGAGCUCACUAAAUCCAACUCUACAGCUUGGAGCUAAGCCUAACUUAGCCAAGUCUAAACCAGUUUGACCUCAGCCAAUUCACAGAUGUUUGAGCCAGAAGUAAGGUGCUUGUUGCUGGAAGCCAGUUAAAUUUUGAGAUCUUUUUGAAAAAUAUAUUGUCAUUGCAGACAUAGAUGCACAUAGUUUUCCACACUGUGGGAAGUCAAAUUAAGCAUGCUUAGACUUUUAAAGCAGAAGCCCAUUAUUAGUGGGGUGGCAAAAAUGUUACAAGUGACAUAGUCCUCCAAUUUCCUUCUUCUAGCCCUCUGCCUAAGAACUAGUGUACUUCAUUUUGAAGUGGAGCCCUAACGGGAGUGUUCAUCUUCUGUCAACAGGGUUAAGCCUCUUGACGCUUACUGGGCACUCACAGUUGUUAGUUCCCUGGAAGACAUGAAAGAGCUUGAUUGGUUCUGUAGUCGUCAGUCAAUAACCAACUGUAACAUACCUACACUUCCAACAAAAUCUUGAUUUGGGAAAUUGAGUGUCUGCUUAUAGUUAAUCCUCUAUUUUUUGACACCUAGUAGGAAAAACAUUUUCAAAAGAGCCAUGACCUGACUCAGUUAAUAUGCAAGGAAAAAUAAGCAGUUCCAAACUUGUCAGUUUAUCCAUCAUCCCUUAUCCAAAAUCCUUCAACUCUCUUGGAAUUAUUUUGUUCUUCAUACUUGCCCAACAAAUAUCUUACUCUUGUCUUGGACUUUAUUUUAUAGUUAUCUCACAUAAGCUCCUUGUGGCUAAGGGCACAUAUUUGGAAUCAGACUACCCUAGUUCAACUCUUGGGUCUACCAUUUAUUAGCUUGUAUUACUUUGGGAAAGAUAAUUAAAUUCUCCAGAUCUAAUUUCCCCCAUUAUAAGAUAAUAAUAGUUAUUACCUGCUAGGAUUGUCUUGAGAAGUAAAUUAGAUAAUUCAUAAGAACCAUUUAACACAGUGCCAGCCACAUAAUGAAGGCAUAGUAAGGGAAAGUUAUUAUGCUGUUGAUAAUACUUGUCUAGGCAGGGGUCUCAUAUUUUUCCCUGUAUCCAUUACUGUACAAUUCAUCUGUCCCAUGACAUUCUAAGAUUGUUUUAGAGUGAGUUGCUUCAGAGUUGAAUAAUUCUAAUAAUAUAUUCUCAUGUUUGGAAACAACUUGGAAUUCCAUUUAGUGUAGACAUCAACAAUGAAAUCGCUAGAGGAUGAGUAAUUUCUACAAUUUUUAUUCAUUAUAGAGAGACCAAUGGGUAUAAUGGUGAAAAGAACUGAGUAGAAGGUCAGGAGGUCAAAGAGACUGAGUUUAAACCCUCACUCUGCUGAGUACUGUUAAUAAUGGUAUGAUCUUAAGAGAACUAAUCUUUAGUUUUUCCCACCUUAAAAACAGAGUUGUCAUGAGUAUUUAAUAAUAGAGGGUAGUAUGUAAACUUCCUGGCAUAUAGCAACUGCUCAACAAAUAGAAGUUAUAGUUUUUUCUUAACUUGCCAAAGAGCCAAGGGAAAAAUGAAGAUUUUGUAGCCAAAGCCAUUUAUCUUUCUCUGUUAUGUGCCUAUCUGUUCCAGAAACAGAAUCAAUUCCUUGAACCUCAUCAAAGGAAGGAUUUGAACAUUUAAAAAAAAAUCAAUCUCUUUGGGUUUGUUAUUGCUUGUUUCCCAUACCUCAGAGACACAAAUACAAACCUUUAUAAUGUCAUCAGGAAGAAGAGGAGUCAAACACUCCUUAACUCAAUAAUUGCAAUGUUAUUAUUUUGCAAGGAAUAGAGUCAAAAUUCCAUUCACAUGAGGACUGUAACUUCUUCAUUACUCCUUGAGGCACGAUGUCCUUGAUUUUAAGUAGCUCAUGUAGAAACUAGUUGUAAGUCUUUAGCGGAGAGACUGUACUGGAAUUAUAGGAUCUACUUAGGGGUUUGAGCUUCCCCACCCACUUAGAGUGACAGUUCACACCUAUAAAAACACAAAAGUCCGGGGGUUUAUUAAACAUUAGGAGAUCCAAAGAGCCAAGACUUCUACCUGUAAAAGUGGUGCUUCCUAAGCAGAAGAAAUGGAAUUUCUCAGAGAAUACAGCUUGGCUUGACCAAUGGACUGUACAAGGAAGAUUAGGAGGUAAUUACUGGGGUAAAAGAGAAAUGGUUGCAUCUUUCUGGAACACUCUAAUAAAACUGAAAGUUUUU